CACAGGCACAAGUGGAGGAACAGGUGAGACAGUGACUGCAACCACUGCAGGAAGCACAUCUGGAAGAACAGGUUCAACAGGGGCAUCUUCAGGAACCAGCUCAGGAGCAGGCAAGGGAAGCUCACCUGGAACACCAAGCACUGAGGCCACCAUCUCUGUUACACCAUCAGGAACAAGAGCAGGAACUGAUGCAGCCACCACUGGAGUUGCUGAGGCAAGCACACCCAGAGAAACAGGUACUGAGGUGGCUCAGCAGAGGGAAACUGAGUCAGUAGAUUUGUAAGUAGGUGUUCAUAAUUUCAUCAGUGUUACAGUUUCCUGUAAUUUGCAAUUUGCUGCCAAUUGUUAUAGAUAUAAGAAGGAAACUGGAAAUGUUUGGG
This 380-nucleotide long non-coding RNA is filed under the name Cricetulus griseus (Chinese hamster). RNAcentral's name for it is "lncRNA (ENSCGRG00000024446.1)". The record is from RNAcentral. Lineage: Eukaryota; Metazoa; Chordata; Mammalia; Rodentia; Cricetidae.